RNAcentral lists this unclassified non-coding RNA (247 nucleotides) under Tremellomycetes sp. RNAcentral describes it as "partial contains 5.8S ribosomal RNA, internal transcribed spacer 2, and large subunit ribosomal RNA". Lineage: Eukaryota; Fungi; Basidiomycota; Tremellomycetes. The record is from RNAcentral.
CGCACCUUGCGCCUUUUGGUAUUCCAAAAGGCAUGCCUGUUUGAGUGUCAUGUAGACUCAACCUCCGAGGUUUUUUGACCUUGUUGGAUUGGACUUGGGCGCCUGCCUCUGGCUCGCCUUAAAAGCGUUAGUGGGAUAAACCGAAAGCCCGAUGUAAUAAGUUUCAUCUGGUCUAGGUGACGCCUGCUCACAACCCCAUCUUUAUGACUCUGACCUCAAAUCAGGUAGGACUACCCGCUGAACUUAA